RNAcentral lists this ribosomal RNA (164 nucleotides) under Chrysosplenium carnosum. RNAcentral describes it as "5.8S ribosomal RNA". It matches the Rfam family "5.8S ribosomal RNA". From Rfam's summary of the family: 5.8S ribosomal RNA (5.8S rRNA) is a component of the large subunit of the eukaryotic ribosome. It is transcribed by RNA polymerase I as part of the 45S precursor that also contains 18S and 28S rRNA. The record is from RNAcentral. Lineage: Eukaryota; Viridiplantae; Streptophyta; Magnoliopsida; Saxifragales; Saxifragaceae.
UUAAUGACUCUCGGCAACGGAUAUCUCGGCUCUCGCAUCGAUGAAGAACGUAGCGAAAUGCGAUACUUGGUGUGAAUUGCAGAAUCCCGUGAACCAUCGAGUUUUUGAACGCAAGUUGCGCCCGAAGCCAUUUGGUUGAGGGCACGUCUGCCUGGGCGUUUCGU